This 534-nucleotide ribosomal RNA is filed under the name uncultured bacterium. RNAcentral's name for it is "bacterial SSU rRNA". It matches the Rfam family "Bacterial small subunit ribosomal RNA", at positions 32 to 621 of the family's 1533-position model. The record is from RNAcentral.
GACGCUGGCGGCAGGCCUACACAUGCAAGUCGAGCGCCCCGCAAGGGGAGCGGCAGACGGGAGAGUAACACGUGGGAACGUACCCUUCAGUUCGGAACAACCCAGGGAAACUUGGGCUAAUACCGGAUACGUCCGUAAGGAGAAAGAUUUAUCGCUGAAGGAUCGGGCCCGCGUCUGAUUAGCUAGUUGGUGGGGUAACGGCCCACCAAGGCGACGAUCAGUAGCUGGUCUGAGAGGAUGAUCAGCCUCACUGGGACUGAGACACGGCCCAGACUCCUACGGGAGGCAGCAGUGGGGAAUAUUGGACAAUGGGCGCAAGCCUGAUCCAGCCAUGCCGCGUGGAUGAUGAAGGCCCUAGGGUUGUAAAGUCCUUUUAACGGGGAAGAUAAUGACGGUACCCCGUAGAAUAAGCCCCGGCUAACUUCGUGCCAGCAGCCGCGGUAAUACGAANGGGGCUAGCGUUGCUCGGAAUCACUGGGCGUAAGCGCACGUAGGCGGGUUGCUAAUCAGGGUGAAAUCUGGACUAACUCAGAC